UUACCGAGUUUACAACUCCCAAACCCCUGUGAACAUACCUUAAUGUUGCCUCGGCGGAUCAGCCCGCGCCCCGUAAAACGGGACGGCCCGCCAGAGGACCCAAACUCUAAUGUUUCUUAUUGUAACUUCUGAGUAAAACAAACAAAUAAAUCAAAACUUUCAACAACGGAUCUCUUGGUUCUGGCAUCGAUGAAGAACGCAGCAAAAUGCGAUAAGUAAUGUGAAUUGCAGAAUUCAGUGAAUCAUCGAAUCUUUGAACGCACAUUGCGCCCGCUGGUAUUCCGGCGGGCAUGCCUGUUCGAGCGUCAUUUCAACCCUCAAGCCCCCGGGUUUGGUGUUGGGGAUCGGCUCUGCCCUUCUGGGCGGUGCCGCCCCCGAAAUACAUUGGCGGUCUCGCUGCAGCCUCCAUUGCGUAGUAGCUAACACCUCGCAACUGGAACGCGGCGCGGCCAUGCCGUAAAACCCCAACUUCUGAAUGUUGACCUCGGAUCAGGUAGGAAUACCCGCUGAACUUAAGCAUAUC
RNAcentral lists this ribosomal RNA (523 nucleotides) under Fusarium sp. Its description in RNAcentral is "eukaryotic LSU rRNA". The stretch from base 155 to 308 matches the Rfam family "5.8S ribosomal RNA". The record is from RNAcentral. Lineage: Eukaryota; Fungi; Ascomycota; Sordariomycetes; Hypocreales; Nectriaceae.